AACGAACGCUGGCGGCAUGCCUAACACAAGCAAGUCGAACGAAGCCUUCGGGCUUAGUGGCGCACGGGUGCGUAACGCGUGGGCAUCUGCCCCUGGGUUCGGAAUAACAGUUAGAAAUGACUGCUAAUACCGGAUGAUGUCUUCGGACCAAAGAUUUAUCGCCCAAGGAUGAGCCCGCGUAGGAUUAGGUAGUUGGUGGGGUAAUGGCCCACCAAGCCGACGAUCCUUAGCUGGUCUGAGAGGAUGAUCAGCCACACUGGGACUGAGACACGGCCCAGACUCCUACGGAAGGCAGCAGUGGGGAAUAUUGGACAAUGGGCGAAAGCCUGAUCCAGCAUUGCCGCGUGAGUGAUGAAGGCCUUAGGGCUGUAAAGCUCUUUUACCAGGGAUGAUAAUGACAGUGCCUGGAGAAUAAGCUCCGGCUAACUCCGUGCAGCCGCCGCGGUAA
This 448-nucleotide ribosomal RNA is filed under the name uncultured bacterium. RNAcentral describes it as "partial 16S ribosomal RNA". It matches the Rfam family "Bacterial small subunit ribosomal RNA", at positions 29 to 523 of the family's 1533-position model. The record is from RNAcentral.